CGUAAUUUUCUACUCAUUGAUCCGUUUCUCCAAAACCCUAGAGCAGCACAAAGAAAAAAUUUGUUGUGGCAAUAGUUUCUUCUUUUUCUAGUUUCUUCGUAGGGUUUUAUUACUGCUGCCUUCCAUCCGAGCUAAUUCCAAGCCCAAACCCCAAAAUAGCCCACUUAUCAUCCCAUAUUCUUGGAUUAUUUUUCAAACUCUAUUAGAGCACAAGCUCACACUACGUAUGACAAGCAUCAACUAAAAUAACAAAAUCUUCUUUAAGCCCAUAAUUCAAUUCAUAACCGAGGCCCAUGGUUGAAACUUGACCAAUACAAUUGAUCCAUAGCCUAAACUGAUCCAACGACUUCUCGGUCUACCUCCCAUCGCUGACAACCAAGCACCUACAGAGUUGCCGCACGCAAAUAUCGCACUCAUACAACCAGUGGAUUCAUCUAGCCAGCCCUUUCACUCCUACCAUCACCAACCAUCAUUUGACGGCAUUCACCAUAUCCUAGUCACAACCCACACUCUCCUUCGCUGACCACCUACACCAAUCACUGUCGCCGCACUCGCUCACCACUACCAACACCUCUCUGCCAUUGCGAUAACAACAAACUUGGCCUCAUCUAACGUUUAUCCUACUCCCUGCCUUCGAUCCUUGCUCAUCAUUGAUACUUUGUCACUAUUGCUGUCGCCACUUCACCUCCACACUUAGUUUCUAUUCACACUAACAACACUGCCAUCGCCAGUCGCUGCCACCAUGAAAGUCACUACCUAUGGUAUAAUUCCUAUCCACCACCCUAUCCAGUCGAGGAAAUACACGAAAAUGNACACCGCUUGACCCCCAAAUAUUA
RNAcentral lists this long non-coding RNA (836 nucleotides) under Olea europaea subsp. europaea. Lineage: Eukaryota; Viridiplantae; Streptophyta; Magnoliopsida; Lamiales; Oleaceae. The record is from RNAcentral.